GUAACAGUUAAUUGCAUUGUAUAAACUAUGGACUUGGAGUAGUAGUGUCUGUGUGGGGCUUCUGUGGAGGAUCUGGAUGGGCCUCUUUUUCUAGAGACUUUUUUCUACCUCCUGCAUCCCCUGCUGCAAAACGAGGACAAACACAGGAGGAUGCUUCCACCAGCAGAGUGUCAUCCGACCAACUGCCAUCACCUUUGGACCCUGAUGAGCAGGAGCUGGCAGCUGCUGCGGGAGGAGCCUCGUCCUGUGGAGGUUUCUGUGAAGUACAGGCACUGCUGCACAGAGCAGUACGCCACCUGCGGCAUUUUUCUCUCAUGGUCGGUCCCAGCUUGCGGGUCAGCCUGAAUGGUCUUGUACAGGCUGUACCACUGCCACAUCUCCAGGAAUGUGAAUGACCUGAAGCAGCCUUGCCCAUAAAUGGCCCUGCCCACAUUGAUCUCGAGGUGGCAGGAGACCUGUGGAAGCAGCUGCACAUACCGCAGCAGGAGAUCCUUCACCCAGUCGCCUUGGCUCGCUUUUCUGUCAGGAUGGCAGCAUUCUUUUAUGUGGAGAUCAAAGAGACUAAAAUAUCACAUAAAGAAAUUCGUUUAUGAAAAAACAAAUUAUGAAAAUUGAUUGUUUAGUGCAACAUACUUACUACUUAAUGUAGCCAACAUCGUUCUCCACCAGCCAUUUAAAACUUUGGCCGUUGUAUUUGCCAAAGUUUAGAUGUAGCUGGCCAAGGUACUGCACCUCUGAUGGUGUCGAGGUAACGGCCCAACAUCUCUUUUUGGCUGAAGACAAAUUGUAAUGACUUAAAUGACAAGCACAAAAAAUUAUAUGCUGCUGUGAAAACAUAGGGUGGAAACACAUCAACAGCUCAAGUGCCAAGAUAUUCCUCACACAGACCUUCCUCACAAGCCAUCCUUUUAUCCAGGACCGUGUUCUUCUCGAAGCAUGUGUUACGUGAAGCCAGUGACUUGGCUUUCUUAGACACCUUAAGAAGGCAUUGUUGCCUAUUUUGUGGCACCCUUGUGUCCACAAUCUGUAAAUUUGGCAACAGUGGGUCCAUGUUAAAUCUGUAGGAAACAGUCUGUUAUAAUCAUCAUAAUGAUACACACAGAGGGGAAAAAAAUAUUCUUAUCAUGACAAAUACAAGAGGUCAUGAUAAAGUUAGCAGUUAUACAGUGGGGGAUACCAAAGUGUGGUGAAAAUUUGAAAUAUAUUUAUUGAAAGAAAGAAAAAGGAACCCCACGGGUACAUUAUUUUACACAAGGUGAUCUAUAGACAUUUGGUCAUAGUGACAAUAACAAAUAAAAUCUAAGGCUAAAAUUAAAAAGAACUUUGAUCUGGGGUAAGUGCGCAUUACUGACAGGCCUUUCAAUGGAACGGUCAUUCAAGGGUAGCUGACGCUUUUCAUUCAGACAACUUACGGAAGAGCUAUCACCGUUAAGUUUGUAAUUCGUCAAUAAAAUAACAUAUUUCUCUUCUUUCUAACUUUGUAUGAAUAUUGUAAUACAUCAGUCUUACCACAAAUGCUGAAUGACAGAUCGUCACAGACAGGGCUGGAUUUACCUCAUAUUGAAACAGGCAAAGUAAUUUUUGGCCCCCCUGGUCUGCUGUUGGUCGGGAACCUCGUACCAAAACUGCUACUUAAGGGAGAAAAAAAAAAAAGGAGAAAAAAAAUUACACAAUCAAACACUGUUUUUAAAAGUUGAUAUUGGCUUUGCACAUGCAUUGUUCUGCUCAUGUGUACAUCGUCGGCCAAUACUGAGCCGGGGUUCUGACCUAAAACCUGCUUGUUUACUUUGUCAACAGCUUAGGAGACUGACAGGAAAGAAAUUGUUGAAUAUUUUUUUGUUUUUGCGCACAAAAUAUUCUCGUCGAUUCAUAAAAUUAAGGUUGAACCACUGUAAUCACAUGGACUAUUUUAACAAUGUCUUUACUACCUUUCUGGGCCUUGAAAUUUUAUGACAUUGCUGUGUAUAGGGAGAUCAGAAACCUCUCGGAUUUCAAAAAUAUCUUAAUUUGUGUUCCGAAGAUGAACAAAGGUCUUGCACGUUCGGAACGACAUGGGGGUGAGUAAUUAAUGCCAGAAAUGUCAUUUUUUGGUUAACUAACCCUUUAAGACAGUACUGACUCUGCAACAAAUACCAGACUAAAGGUUAUUUUAGUCUGGGGAAACUUUUUGAGCAGUGUUGCCGAGCGAUGUUGCUUGGGCACUUUCCCAUUGAGAAUGCGCAACAAAUUUAUAUCUAGAUACUUAUUAGAUCGAAAUUUGUUGCCCAUUCUCAAUGGGAAAGUGCCCAAGCAACAUCUGCAACACUGCUCAAAAAGUUGCCUCGUGUAUCAUCACCCAAGACACUCUUCUCCGCUCCUCAAAAACAUAAAGUAUUAGUCUUUAUAUAGUGUUUCUCGAGUAAAGAAAACGCCGAACUUUUCCAAAAAACAAACAAACAAACCGUUCUUUAUUUACCUUUGGGUUGCAGACAGAGAUGACCCAAGCUGCAUGCAACGCUUUCACUCGCGAUAGAGGCGAGGCGGGGUUAUGAAGUUUGACUGACAGUUUUAAGAGCCAGUAGAGUUACGAGGUUUAGUCACAAGCUCUUUUAAAACUUUUCAUUGGUUAAAUAUUUGCAAAACCCACAGACAGACGUAAAGGGUGACCAACAGUAAUGAUUCAUGAGGGGGAAGACAAAAUAUACGAGGUUUCUGCCUGACUGUGACAUUUUAAAUGUAUUAAUUUAUAAAGGAAUUGUCUUGAGUACUAGCAUUAGAGCGAAAUAAUGCAUUUUGUAAAACUGUAGUUAUUAUUAUUUCUCCUCAUUGUAAUUUUAGGCACGUGGCUAGAAUGCCUAUAAAUCCAGCCCUGGUCAGGGAUGAGCUUCUGGCAGGAGCGAUAGCCAAGCAGGCAAGCGUUAUGUCCAGUUGCGAGUCUAAUUACGAAUUAACUAAAAUCCGAUUGACGACGUGUCGUCUAAGGCUUUGAUCAUGUAACAUUAAAAUUAACUUGACACUCUCGUCAAGAGCCGCUCUGUUGUCGUAUAUUUGCAUAGCCACUUUGUAGCGCACGGUGCACCCGAUUGGUAGUCUACAGUCUACGGUCCAGAACUGUAGACAAUUCGGCCUUCCGAUUGGCCUGGAGUCUACGGUUAUUGUAUACACUGUAGACUCUCGACCAGUGAUUGGCCCCAACUGUCUACAGUCUACAGCGGGCACUGCACGUUGACGUUGCCCACGUAAUCUGUACUGCAUAAUUUCUGGUAGUGGGGGACUGCGUUCUGUAUUUUUAUUUUAUUUAUUUUUUAGUCUAUGGCUCUCCCUUGAUGUAUUGGUUAAAUAACAGAAUUGAAUGAGAUUAAAAAGCUUGGAGCUUCACAUGACAUGAAGAAUCGUUUCAACUCAACUUCAACUUUUUGAAGGAUGUUGACACAUUACAUUUGUUGUGCUUAUUUUAAUUAAAAUAAAAUAAAAAGUAAAUCAAAAAUAUUAUAUAUAUAUAUAUAUAUAUAUAUAUAUAUUAUAGCAAAUGCUUCAUUACAAAUGUGAAAUCUUUAUGAUAAAAUAAUUACUGUUUUAUUUAUUUAUUUAUUUAUUUAUUUUUGAGCCCAGUAUGAUUCUUUUUAGGUCUUCGUAAACUUUCAUAAUUGUGCUUGUAUUUUUGUCAUUCUGUGUUUUUAACACUAGAGGGUGCUGUAAGUAUAUUUACUUUCUCUCGUGGCAAGCUGACAUUUUUGAAUGUUCUCUGUAGAAGUAUAAUUCAUUCUGAAAAUGAUUUAACUCAGUCCAUAUUACCUAUGAAAGCAGAAGUGAUUAAUUAUUUUCCAUAAAUUGUAUAUAGUCAAGCAGCUCAGUUGUGUUUGUCCUGAAUAUUUGACAUUUGUACCCCUGGUUUCACAGACAAGGCUUAUGCCUGGUCCUAGACUAAAAU
Molecule: long non-coding RNA, 3910 nt
Organism: Ctenopharyngodon idella (grass carp)
Lineage: Eukaryota; Metazoa; Chordata; Actinopteri; Cypriniformes; Xenocyprididae
Exons: 3
Source: RefSeq, a predicted model, not a curated record